RNAcentral lists this ribosomal RNA (451 nucleotides) under uncultured bacterium. RNAcentral's name for it is "partial 16S ribosomal RNA". It matches the Rfam family "Bacterial small subunit ribosomal RNA", at positions 29 to 523 of the family's 1533-position model. The record is from RNAcentral.
AGCGAACGCUGGCGGCAGGCUUAACACAUGCAAGUCGAGCGGGCGUAGCAAUACGUCAGCGGCAGACGGGUGAGUAACACGUGGGAACGUACCUUUUGGUUCGGAACAACUGAGGGAAACUUCAGCUAAUACCGGAUAAGCACUAACGGGGAAAGAUUUAUCGCCGAAAGAUCGGCCCGCGUUUGAUUAGCUAGUUGGUGAGGUAAUGGCUCACCAAGGCGACGAUCAGUAGCUGGUCUGAGAGGAUGAUCAGCCACACUGGGACUGAGACACGGCCCAGACUCCUACGGGAGGCAGCAGUGGGGAAUAUUGGACAAUGGGGGCAACCCUGAUCCAGCCAUGCCGCGUGAGUGAUGAAGGCCCUAGGGUUGUAAAGCUCUUUUGUGCGGGAAGAUAAUGACGGUACCGCAAGAAUAAGCCCCGGCUAACUUCGUGCCAGCCGCCGCCGUAA